This 122-nucleotide small nucleolar RNA is filed under the name Erinaceus europaeus (western European hedgehog). Its description in RNAcentral is "Small nucleolar RNA SNORA70". It matches the Rfam family "Small nucleolar RNA SNORA70". Rfam says of the family: snoRNA U70 seems to be exclusive to mammals and is a member of the H/ACA class of snoRNA which contain H (ANANNA) and ACA box motifs. H/ACA box snoRNAs are involved in the conversion of uridines to pseudouridines (5-ribosyluracil) a constituent of structural RNAs (transfer, ribosomal, small nuclear, and small nucleolar). Lineage: Eukaryota; Metazoa; Chordata; Mammalia; Eulipotyphla; Erinaceidae. The record is from Rfam by way of RNAcentral.
ACAUAGGCUAUCAACCCCACAGACUCUUCCCAUGAUGCCCAAUGUGCAAUGGCUGCAAAUAGCAGCCUUCUAGGGAGUGUUUGCAGCCUGUACAAGUUGCCUAAGGGACCUUGGAGAGAAGU